GAAUUUUCCACAAUGGGCGCCAGCCUGAUGGAGCAACGCCGCGUGGGGGAUGACGCGUUUCGGCGUGUAAACCCCUUUUCCGAGGGACGAAACACAUGACGGUACCUCGGGAAUAAGGUCCGGCUAACUACUUGCCAGCAGCCGCGGUAACACGUAGGGACCGAGCGUUGUCCGGAGUUACUGGGCGUAAAGGGCGCGCAGGCGGUUGGUCGCGUCGGGCGUGAAAGCCCCCCGCUUAACGGGGGAGGGUCGUCCGAAACGGGCCAACUGGAGGCAGGGAGAGGUCGGUGGAAUUCCCGGUGUAGUGGUGAAAUGCGUAGAUAUCGGGAGGAACACCAGUGGCGAAGGCGGCCGACUGGACCUGACCUGACGCUGAGGCGCGAAGGCGUGGGGAGCGAACGG
This 402-nucleotide ribosomal RNA is filed under the name uncultured bacterium. RNAcentral describes it as "bacterial SSU rRNA". It matches the Rfam family "Bacterial small subunit ribosomal RNA", at positions 359 to 775 of the family's 1533-position model. The record is from RNAcentral.